CGGGCUCCCCGAGUGGGGGCGGGGGCUGCGCGGCCCUUGAACCUUGGGGGAGCCAGAACUUGGCUUUGGUGGCUGAAACUUUGUUUGACCCCUUGAAUCCUGCAGGACAUCAGAGGCCGGGGCCAGGCAGCGGGCAGUUAGGAAGCCGGUCCCUGGAGGCUGGCUUCUCUUUCCGCAUGACCUUGGGGCGAGGCACCUCCUUCUGCAGCUCCGUGCGUGUGUUUUUAUAACACUUCCCAGCGCCGGCUCAGCUCCCUGCGAGGCGCGGCCACGCCCCGUCCAAGCUGGAGCCUGAGAAAUUAUUGUCCCCGGGUCACAAACCGAGGCCCGAAAGGGGGAAGAAGCGACUGGUUCAAGGCCGCACAGCUGGCCGCGGAGCCCUCUGAAGCCUCCUGCAGCCUCAGUUUCCCUGUCCGUGGUGCUGAGGAUGCCAGGGCCUAGAGGGUCGGGGCGGGCGGAGCGGCAUCCCCGCAGCCGCCCUGAGUACUGGCCAAAGAUCCUGUUUUUACCGGGCAUGAGCUGGGACAAGAGGGUUCUCUGGCUGCUUAGGAAAUUCAGCGCCUGGCUUGCAGGAAAUGGCUUCUACGUGGGGAUUUCACAGUCUUCGGGAAGAAAACAUCUCUCUUUAGCAGUGUGCACUUGGCUGAACUUGCUCCAAGAAAAAUGCGCUCAUUGAACAAAAGGAUUAUGAUGAAAGGGGGCUUUUGUCAAGGCAGCUGUGGAGAGUCAUCUGUGAUGGUGUAUACGGCACACGGUAGGUGCUCAGGAGAAGUGCCAGGCAUAUCACCAGCCGAAGGAGAAAUCCAGAAAGGUAAAUAUGCCCAUGACCCUUGAGGUAGCAACCCCGUUCUCAAGACUGCCGCCCAAGAAAAGAAGUCAUCGACAGCAAAAAGCCCUGUGCAUAAAACCGGCCAUCACCGUGUUCUCUCACUGAAGAAAGCUGGAAAUAACCUAAAUGUUUGUCUAGUGCCCUGGACUGGGCUAGAAAGGAUGUUGGUGUUAUCAGACAGCAGUGAAGUUGGUAAGCAGGUUCAUUUUCCACACAUUUCUCAAGUGCCUUCAGUGUGCCAGCCAGAGGACUUGGCAGUACUGGGCAGUGAGGAAACCAGCUAUGCCUGGCCCCUGCUCCAAUCUGGACUAGCAGUACUGCCCACCCCACGCCACCCUCUCCCUCUCCCCUCACCCUUGUUAGUUGCUCUAUUGUGUAUUGUCUGUGUCCCCACCGGACUGCAACCUCCAGGAGAGCAGGGACCUAAGUGUCUUGUUCUCCAUCACAGUGCCCAGCAGGCCUUGAGGUUUGUAGGCCCUCGGAAGUAUUUGCUGAACCAAUGAAGUUCUGGCUCAGCACUUCCUAACUGUAUGACUCGGUUGAGCCUCAGUUUCCUCAGCUGUAACACGGGGGUUGUAAUCCGCAGGGCACAGGGUCGUUGUGAGGGAGAGCGAGAGGACGUACAGGAAGUGUGCGGUGAGCAGGACCCCCCGCCCCGUAUUCUUGUUACGUGCAACGUGCUGCAUGGCGUGGCUUCUCGGCCAGCAACUGGCAUUCGGCGAUGAAUAAUGCACACACUUGAAGCAACUCAGCCUCGGAAGACAAUGUCAUAUGAGAAAAGAAUGCAAACUGGAAUGUACGUUCUGAUGACCAAAAUGUGAUCAUUUGUGCACAGCUGGACAAAGCUUGGAGAGAAAUUUGCUAUGGCAGCCACUGGUGCUGGAGAGAGUGUGUUCCAAGUGUAAAAUCUUUUCUUCUAGGACAUCGGAAAAAAUUGUCCAAAAGCUCCUUGAUGCUGAAUUCUGAGAGCAGACACACGGUGUGGGUGAUGUGCCUUGGACAGAUUAGAGGCGGGAGAUUAGGGGGUCCCUGUCCAGUCUCUGACAUUCCUGCAGACUGGUUCCUCUGGUCUGGCCUGAGGAACCUGGCAGAGGAGUCACCAUGGCCACUGGGCAGACCAGGGGCCUCCCCCAAGGAACAAAGGGAUCCACUCAGGGGCCCCAGCCCUGCCACCAGCUCCAGCUGCAAGGCCUGCAAGGCUUCGUGCGUCUACCUCCUCUCAAAAGAGAGGAGCCACUUGUCAAGCACUUGGUAGGAGCGGGCCCUGUGCAAGCGCCUUACUUGUAUCCAGCAUCUUUGAACUUUCACUGCCAGCAGUGUGGUGAGUGUAAUUAGCACCUCGUCUCUCAGGUGAGAAUGGUUUACCAGGAGGUAAAACCAUUUGUCCAAGGCAGGCAGCUAGUAAGGACAGGACCCAGGACCCACCCAGGACUCUGCUCUCUGAAUGUAGGAGAACCCCAUCCUUCUGCACCAAAAACACCUUUGACCCAGAAAGUCCAAGGCACUUGGCACAGUGGGAGUUCCCUAGAGGGCUGGAGAAGGACAGCCCUGUGUCUGUGGACAGGUGGGACUUUUCCAUUCUUUGAGGCUCCUAGCACUUUCAAAAAUGAAGAAAUGCAGGCAUAACUUUUUUUAUUGCUCCUCACAAAUACAUUUUUUCCAAAUGGAAGGUUUGUGGCAACCCUGCAUAGAGCAAGUCCAUUGGUAGCAUUUUUCCAACAGCAUUUGUUCACUUCAUGUCUGUGUCACGUUUUGGUAAUGUUGGCAGUAUUUCAAACUUUUAUUAUAUUUGCCACUGUGAUCUGUGAUCAGUGAUCUUUGAUGUUUUGGUGGACAAAAAAUAUUGCCCGCUAUUUCAGUAAGGACAGCUGUGCUCACCACCCCCUCCCAGGCUACACUCAAGACCCGGCACCCCAACUUCAGCUCUGAGCCUUAAAAUAUUAAUGUGAGCUCAGAGAGAUCAAUGGACUGAAAUCCUACCUGCUCAAGGUUGGGUUACAAAGCAGAAACACAGAUGUAGAGAACAAACGUAUGGACACCAAGCGGGUGUGGGGGAGGUGAAUUGGGAGAUUGGGAUUGACAUAUAUAUACUUAUAUGUAUAAAAUAGAUAACUAAUAAGAACCUGCUGUAUAAAAAAAAAUACGAAAAAAAAAAAGAUUGGGUUACAGCCCUGCCAGCAGUGUGACAUGGAACUGGGCCCCUUCACUCAGUGCCUGGGUUUGGCCCCAGUCCAGGAUGCUCUGUCAGCUAGAGACUUGGCAGGCCAGCAGCUUCCAGAGGUCUCAGCCUUUCUCAGAGGCAUCCUUCUACCAUACACCUAGCCUCAAUGCUUCAAGGCCACAGGUAGGACCUAGGGCCCAGAGAGUUUAAUGAAAGCAGGUGACUUGUAUGCCCAUGCGUCCAGUGGAUGGGACAGGCCCUCGCCCCAUACCCCAUAUGCAGGUAUCCUGAGUAUAUAGCAUUAGACAUAAAAACCUGUCUUUGGAACUUUUGCCUCCACCAACUGUGUGACCUAGGACAAGUUACCUACCCCUCUAUACCAGAUGGAGAUAAUUGUUCCUACCCUACAAGUUUGUUGGGGGCAGUCACGGAAGCCAGCAGGGAAAGGGCUGGGCUCAAAGUCAAGGACACACAAAGGGUAGCUGUGCCCUUCUACUGAUUGUUCUCUGGAUUCCCAGAGACUGGCAGAGAGCAGCCAUCCUCUGUUAGUAAGAGUGGCCCUGCAGCAACUCAUCCCAAGUACCAUGAGGGAAGCAAAGCCUGCAGGAACUCUGGCGAUGCAGGGCCUCCCAGAAGUCUACCAGGGCCUGGGGACUUUUCCAUUCUUUGAGGCUCCUAGCACUUUCAAAAAUGAAGAAAUGCAGGCAUAACUUGUUUUAUUGCUCUUCACAAAUACAUUUUUUCCAAAUGGAAGGUUUGUGGCAACCCUGCAUGGAGCAAGUCUAUUGGUAGCAUUUUUCCAACAGCAUUUGUUCACUUCAUGUC
Molecule: non-coding RNA, 3815 nt
Organism: Delphinapterus leucas (beluga whale)
Lineage: Eukaryota; Metazoa; Chordata; Mammalia; Artiodactyla; Monodontidae
Source: RefSeq, a predicted model, not a curated record